GCUAAGACAUCCCACCCUGAAUGCCUCCAAUAUUGUCUGGUCUUGGGAACUAAGCAAAGUCGGACCUGGUUAGUAUUUCAGUGGGAGACCUAAUGGCUAUGGAGAACAGGCUAUGGUAGCA
RNAcentral lists this ribosomal RNA (121 nucleotides) under Peromyscus maniculatus bairdii (prairie deer mouse). Lineage: Eukaryota; Metazoa; Chordata; Mammalia; Rodentia; Cricetidae. The record is from RNAcentral.